UUUUUUUUUUUUUUUUCUUGAUAGUGUCUCUCUCAUGUUUAAGCUUUUUUCGGAAUCAAGCCCACAUUCUUCAGCACGGCAUUGAAGACUCAGGAGCCCUCCCAGUCUGGCCCCAUGCACAGAUGGAAGGCUUUCUUUCCUGGUCCUUAUCCUUCUCUGCACAAUACUCCAGUCACACCACACCAUGGACUGCUCUCUGACCCUCAUGGCAUUCCAGUGGCGUUAUGCUCUCAUACAGCCUUCCUCAUUUGCCCACCUUGCUUGUCUCUGACUCAUAUUCUAUUCCAAGGCUAAGCUCAAAUGUCAUCAUAUCUCUCAAACUGUCCCUCACACUCCCACCCCCACAUGAUUUAGUUGUAUUCUGCCUUUUGUUCCACAGGUCUUUGUACAUCAUGGUAUUAUGGUGUUUAAGUCUGUACAUAUGUAUUUGUAUUGCCAUCCCCAACCCAGGCUCCAAGCCUUCUGAAGGUAGAAAACUGUAUCACAUAAAUGAAGAAUGAAUGAAUGAAUGAAUGAGUAAAUAUUUAGCCUAUCUGUCUGAACUGCCUGCUCUGUCUUAGCCAUUGGAAACAUGCUUAGAACUAAAUCAUUUUCUAAGAAACAAUAGUCUUCCUUAGUAUUAAUUUUAUAUUAUUUUUCUCUCUUCUCUCCAAGCCCUUAUCACUUGGAUUCUUGCUAUUUUACUUUUGCUUUAAGAUAUCCCUGUUGUCUUAUUAACUACUUUGAGUCCUACACAGAUUUAUGUAAGUGAGAAAUAUACAAUAUCCUAUGUACCUCACCUGAGCUAAAUAAAAUCAUUUUCCAUCAAAGGAA
Molecule: long non-coding RNA, 813 nt
Filed under: Homo sapiens (human)
Lineage: Eukaryota; Metazoa; Chordata; Mammalia; Primates; Hominidae
Description: novel transcript, sense intronic to FRY
Source: RNAcentral